UUUUCGGAUCGUAAAGCUCUGUCGGGUGGAAAGAAAGGCAUGGAGGUUAAUACCUUCCAUGUUUGACGGUACCACCAAAGGAAGCACCGGCUAACUCCGUGC
RNAcentral lists this ribosomal RNA (102 nucleotides) under uncultured bacterium. Its description in RNAcentral is "partial 16S ribosomal RNA". The record is from RNAcentral.